RNAcentral lists this ribosomal RNA (383 nucleotides) under uncultured eukaryote. RNAcentral describes it as "partial 18S ribosomal RNA". It matches the Rfam family "Eukaryotic small subunit ribosomal RNA", at positions 592 to 976 of the family's 1831-position model. The record is from RNAcentral.
CAAUAGCGUCUAUUAAAGUUGUUGCGGUUAAAAAGCUCGUAGUUGGAUCUCGGCAGGCAGGGGGUGGUUCGCUCUUAGCGCUACUGCCCCAUUUGCCUGUGUGAUUGGCGGAGGUUUCGGGGUGCUCUUCGUUGAGUGACCCGGGGCGCCGUCAGGUUUACUUUGAAAAAAUUAGAGUGCUCAAAGCAGGCUUUUCACGCUUGAAUAUUCGUGCAUGGAAUAAUGGAAUAGGAACUCGUUUCUAUUUUGUUGGUUUUCGGAAAUCGAGUUAAUGAUUAAUAGGGACAAUUGGGGGCAUUAGUAUUCAGACGACAGAGGUGAAAUUCUUGGACCGUCUGAAGACUAACUACUGCGAAAGCAUUUGCCAAGAGUGUUUUCAUUAA